RNAcentral lists this ribosomal RNA (261 nucleotides) under uncultured bacterium. RNAcentral describes it as "partial 16S ribosomal RNA". It matches the Rfam family "Bacterial small subunit ribosomal RNA", at positions 94 to 353 of the family's 1533-position model. The record is from RNAcentral.
ACCGGCGCACGGGUGAGUAACACGUAUCCAACCUGCCGUCUACUCUUGGACAGCCUUCUGAAAAGAAGAUUAAUACAAGAUGGCAUCAUGAGUCCGCAUGUUCACAUGAUUAAAGGUAUUCCGGUAGACGAUGGGGAUGCGUUCCAUUAGAUAGUAGGCGGGGUAACGGCCCACCUAGUCUUCGAUGGAUAGGGGUUCUGAGAGGAAGGUCCCCCACAUUGGAACUGAGACACGGUCCAAACUCCUACGGGAGGCAGCAUG